GAGUUCCUCUGAAUGCUUCAAACAUGAGACAAUCUAUAUGGAUAGUUCUUGUUCAAUGAAGUGUUUGGGGGAACUC
RNAcentral lists this microRNA precursor (76 nucleotides) under Medicago truncatula (barrel medic). Its description in RNAcentral is "miR395j stem-loop (mtr-MIR395j)". Its record names the gene mtr-MIR395j. Lineage: Eukaryota; Viridiplantae; Streptophyta; Magnoliopsida; Fabales; Fabaceae. The record is from miRBase by way of RNAcentral.